ACCUGGCUGGCUUAGUCAGUAGAGCAUGUGACUCUUGAUCUCAGGAUUGUGAGUUCGAGCCCCAUGUUGGGUG
This 73-nucleotide transfer RNA is filed under the name Felis catus (domestic cat). It matches the Rfam family "tRNA". From Rfam's summary of the family: Transfer RNA (tRNA) molecules are approximately 80 nucleotides in length. Their secondary structure includes four short double-helical elements and three loops (D, anti-codon, and T loops). Further hydrogen bonds mediate the characteristic L-shaped molecular structure. tRNAs have two regions of fundamental functional importance: the anti-codon, which is responsible for specific mRNA codon recognition, and the 3' end, to which the tRNAs corresponding amino acid is attached (by aminoacyl-tRNA synthetases). tRNAs cope with the degeneracy of the genetic code in two manners: having more than one tRNA (with a specific anti-codon) for a particular amino acid; and 'wobble' base-pairing, i.e. permitting non-standard base-pairing at the 3rd anti-codon position. The record is from Rfam by way of RNAcentral. Lineage: Eukaryota; Metazoa; Chordata; Mammalia; Carnivora; Felidae. RNAcentral also lists the same sequence under 2 other names.